GACGAACGCUGGCGGCGUGCUUAACACAUGCAAGUCGAACGGAAAGGCCCUGCUUUUGUGGGGUGCACGAGUGGCGAACGGGUGAGUAACACGUGAGUAACCUGCCCUUGACUUUGGGAUAACUUCAGGAAACUGGGGCUAAUACCGGAUAGGAGCUCCUGCUGCAUGGUGGGGGUUGGAAAGUUUCGGCGGUUGGGGAUGGACUCGCGGCUUAUCAGCUUGUUGGUGGGGUAGUGGCUUACCAAGGCUUUGACGGGUAGCCGGCCUGAGAGGGUGACCGGCCACAUUGGGACUGAGAUACGGCCCAGACUCCCACGGGAGGCAGCAGUGGGGAAUAUUGCACAAUGGGCGGAAGCCUGAUGCAGCAACGCCGCGUGCGGGAUGACGGCCUUCGGGUUGUAAACCGCUUUCGCCUGUGACGAAGCGUGAGUGACGGUAAUGGGUAAAGAAGCACCGGCUACUACGUG
This 467-nucleotide ribosomal RNA is filed under the name uncultured bacterium. RNAcentral's name for it is "partial 16S ribosomal RNA". It matches the Rfam family "Bacterial small subunit ribosomal RNA", at positions 28 to 507 of the family's 1533-position model. The record is from RNAcentral.